AUUGAACGUUGGCGGCAUGCCUAACACAUGCAUGUCGAACGGUUUUGGAGCUUGCUCCAAGAUAGUGGCGGACGGGCGAGUAACGCGUAGGCAUCUACCUUAUAGAGGGGGACAACCCGGGGAAACUCGGGCUAAUACCGCAUAAUAAUCGAGAGAUUAAACGAUGGGACCUUUUUGCCAUACUAUAUAACUUGAGCCUGCGUUGGACUAGCUAGUUGGUGGGGUAAAGGCGUACCAAGGCGUCGGUCCAUAACUGGUCUGGAAGGAUGACCAGUCACACUGGGAGUGAGACACGGCCCAGACUCCUACGGGAGGCAGCAGUGGGGAAGGUUAGACAAUGGCAGCAACCCUGAUCCAGCAAUGCCUCGUGUGUGAAGAAGGCCGGCGGGUUGUAAAGGACUUUUAGUGAUGAGAAAGGUAAUUGUGUGAAGGGCAUGAUUAUUUGACGUUAGUCACAGAGAAAGCACCGGCUAACUCUGUGCCAGCAGCCGCCGCGG
RNAcentral lists this ribosomal RNA (497 nucleotides) under uncultured bacterium. RNAcentral describes it as "partial 16S ribosomal RNA". It matches the Rfam family "Bacterial small subunit ribosomal RNA", at positions 30 to 523 of the family's 1533-position model. The record is from RNAcentral.